Trichobilharzia regenti is the source of this 48-nucleotide non-coding RNA. Lineage: Eukaryota; Metazoa; Platyhelminthes; Trematoda; Strigeidida; Schistosomatidae. The record is from Rfam.
AGUUAGCUGACGAGUCCCAAAUAGAACGAAAUGCGCGUUAUCCUGGAU